RNAcentral lists this ribosomal RNA (468 nucleotides) under uncultured bacterium. Its description in RNAcentral is "bacterial SSU rRNA". It matches the Rfam family "Bacterial small subunit ribosomal RNA", at positions 8 to 464 of the family's 1533-position model. The record is from RNAcentral.
CAGGGUUUGAUCCUGGCUCAGGAUGAACGCUGGCGGCGUGCCUAAUACAUGCAAGUCGAGCGAACGGACGAGAAGCUUGCUUCUCUGAUGUUAGCGGCGGACGGGUGAGUAACACGUGGAUAACCUACCUAUAAGACUGGGAUAACUUCGGGAAACCGGAGCUAAUACCGGAUAAUAUUUUGAACCGCAUGGUUCAAAAGUGAAAGACGGUCUUGCUGUCACUUAUAGAUGGAUCCGCGCUGCAUUAGCUAGUUGGUAAGGUAACGGCUUACCAAGGCAACGAUGCAUAGCCGACCUGAGAGGGUGAUCGGCCACACUGGAACUGAGACACGGUCCAGACUCCUACGGGAGGCAGCAGUAGGGAAUCUUCCGCAAUGGGCGAAAGCCUGACGGAGCAACGCCGCGUGAGUGAUGAAGGUCUUCGGAUCGUAAAACUCUGUUAUUAGGGAAGAACAUAUGUGUAAGUAA